AUUGAACGCUGGCGGCAUGCCUUACACAUGCAAGUCGAACGGUAGAGUAGUAAUACUCGAGAGUGGCGAACGGGUGAGUAAUGCGUCGGAACGUACCGAGUAAUGGGGGAUAACGCAGCGGAAGCUGUGCUAAUACCGCAUACGCCCUGAGGGGGAAAGCAGGGGAUCGCAAGGCCUUGCGUUAUUCGAGCGGCCGACGUCUGAUUAGCUAGUUGGUGGGGUAAAGGCCUACCAAGGCGACGAUCAGUAGCGGGUCUGAGAGGAUGAUCCGCCACACUGGAACUGAGACACGGUCCAGACUCUACGGGAGGCAGCAGUGGGGAAUUUUGGACAAUGGGGGAAACCCUGAUCCAGCCAUUCCCBCGUGAGUGAAGAAGGCUUCGGGUUGUAAAGCUCUUUCAGCUGGAAAGAAACGGUGCGCUCUAACAUAGCGUUGCUAAUGACGGUACCAGCAGAAGAAGCACCGAGCUAACUACGUGC
RNAcentral lists this ribosomal RNA (480 nucleotides) under uncultured beta proteobacterium. RNAcentral's name for it is "bacterial SSU rRNA". It matches the Rfam family "Bacterial small subunit ribosomal RNA", at positions 30 to 508 of the family's 1533-position model. The record is from RNAcentral. Lineage: Bacteria; Pseudomonadati; Pseudomonadota; Betaproteobacteria.